This 512-nucleotide long non-coding RNA is filed under the name Olea europaea (common olive). RNAcentral's name for it is "long non-coding RNA (OEUR_LNC011188)". Lineage: Eukaryota; Viridiplantae; Streptophyta; Magnoliopsida; Lamiales; Oleaceae. The record is from RNAcentral.
UAAAUCACAACCCUCAGGCUUGAGGCAUUUUUAUAUCUAAAAGCCUUAAUUUAUGCACCCCAUCAAAAAACACAGGAGGUGAUCACAAACUUACAUUUAGCAGAAUUCAAGAACACAACAAAAAAGAAGAAAAUAGAAGUGUAGAUCAUAACAAGAUUGCAACUAACAAAGCCAUACUUUUAGCAUCUGCUUUUUAAUUUAAUUCCACACUGAUUAAUCACAUCAUGGAAGUCUAAGAAGUCGCCGGAGAUUGUCAGUAGCACCGGUGUCGAUCCCGGCAGCCUGGGCAUUGCAGCUGAGCUUUGGCCUCAAUGAAAAAGUGGGCAAAGGCAAACUGCUUGGUGGUGGAGAUAUUGUGAACACAACUGAACCAGAAAACUUGCCAAUCUGUUCAAUUUCAACACCUUUAACUUUAAUACUUCCAACACUGUUAGUACUAAUUUUAUUGGUAUUACCUGAUGAUAGAGAAGAUGAAAUUUUUGUAAUAUUUUUUGGCAGAUCUUUAGGNNNNN